GGCAUCGGUGCUUUGGGGAAUCCA
This 24-nucleotide non-coding RNA is filed under the name Arabidopsis thaliana (thale cress). Lineage: Eukaryota; Viridiplantae; Streptophyta; Magnoliopsida; Brassicales; Brassicaceae. The record is from RNAcentral.